RNAcentral lists this ribosomal RNA (127 nucleotides) under uncultured bacterium. RNAcentral describes it as "partial 16S ribosomal RNA". The record is from RNAcentral.
GCCGAUGCUUAUUCUUCAGGUACACGUCAUUGAUUCCUCCCUGAAAAAGAGGUUUACAACCCAUAGGCCGUCAUCCCUCACGCGGUAUUGCUCCGUCAGGCUUUCGCCCAUUGCGGAAAAUUCCCCA